UUUUGUACCUUUUGUAUCAGGGUUGAUUAAAAUUUAUUUAAUGAUUUUAAAUAUCUCGAAAAUAAGGGAGCUAAAUUUAUAUUAUUUUUUUUGUAGCAAUAAAAUUAUAAAUAUAGAUUUAGAAAUUAAAUGUUAAACGAACUUAUUAAUAUCUAGUUUUUUUAGAAAUAAAUUUAAUUUAGAUAUAAUUAUUUUAGUAAAUUAAAUUUUAUUUUAAUUUAUUAAUUUUUAUAUUAAAAAUUUAUGGGAUAAUCUAUAAAUUUAAGAUAAAAAUUUAAUUUUAAUUUUUAAUGUUAUAGAGAUAAUAUUUUUCUUUAAUUUUAAUAAUUUAAUAAUUUAAUAUUUAUAAAUUAAUAAUGAUUUAAAUUUAUAUUUUAUUUUUCUAUAAAAAUUUAUAUUUUAAUUAAUAAAAUAUAGAAAUAAUGAUUAGAUUAGUAAUAAAGUUAUAUUUUAUAAUGAUAUUUUGUAUUAUAUAAUUUAAAGGAAUUCGGCAAAUAUAUUAUUCACCUGUUUAUCAAAAACAUGUCCUGUUGAUUAUAAUUUUAGGUCGAUCUGCUCAAUGAAUUAUUUUAAAUAGCUGCAGUAUGUUGACUGUACAAAGGUAGCAUAAUAAAUUGUCUUUUAAUUGAAGAAUUGUAUGAAAGAAUUAAUGAAAUAAUAACUGUCUCUAAAUUAUUAAAUGAAUUUAAAUUUUUAGUUAAAAUUCUAAAAUUUAAUUAUGGGACGAUAAGACCCUAUAG
This 740-nucleotide ribosomal RNA is filed under the name Apis mellifera (honey bee). Its description in RNAcentral is "partial 16S ribosomal RNA". The record is from RNAcentral. Lineage: Eukaryota; Metazoa; Arthropoda; Insecta; Hymenoptera; Apidae.